UAACGGUCCUAAGGUAGCGAAAUUCCUUGUCGGGUAAGUUCCGACCUGCACGAAUGGCGUAACGAUCUGGAAACUGUCUCCAGCAGAGACUCAGCGAACUUGUAGCACCGGUGAAGAUGCCGGUUACCCGCACUUAGACGGAAAGACCCCGUGCACCUUUACUACACCUUGACAUUGAGGUUGGCGUUGGACUGUGCAGGAUAGGUGGGAGACUAUGAAACUGGCUCGUUAGGGUCGGUGGAGUCACCCUUGAGAUACCACCCUGUUUAACGCUGAUCUCUAACUCGCACCCGUGAUCCGGGUGGAAGACAAUGUCAGGCGGGUAGUUUGACUGGGGCGGUCGCCUCCUAAAGCGUAACGGAGGCGUACGAAGGUUCCCUCAGGCUGUUUGGAAAUCAGCCGCAGAGCGCAAUAGUAUAAGGGAGCUUGACUGCGAGUCAGACACGACGAGCAGGUGCGAAAGCAGGUUAUAGUGAUCCGGUGGUCCCGAAUGGAAGGGCCAUCGCUCAACGGAUAAAAGGUACGCCGGGGAUAACAGGCUGAUCUUGCCCAAGAGUUCAUAUCGACGGCAAGGUUUGGCACCUCGAUGUCGACUCAUCACAUCCUGGGGCUGAAGCAGGUCCCAAGGGUUCGGCUGUUCGCCGAUCAAUAGUGGUACGUGAGUUGGGUUCAGAACGUCGCGAGACAGUUCGGUCCCUAUCUAGUGUGGGCGCAGGAGAUUUGAGAGGACCUGUCCUUAGUACGAGAGGACCGGGAUGGACUGACCUCUGGUGUUCCAGUUGUGCCUCCAGGUGCAAUGCUGGGUAGCUAUGUCGGGAAGUGAGAAGCGCUGAAAGCAUCUAAGCGCGAAACACCCCUCAAGAUGAGAUCUCCCUAUGAGACCCGUGGAAGACCACCACGUUGAUAGGUCGCAUGUGUAAGGCCGGUAACGGCUUAAGCUGAGCGAUACUAAUCGGUCCACUGACUUGACCUUUC
This 975-nucleotide ribosomal RNA is filed under the name Bacteroidota bacterium. Its description in RNAcentral is "Bacteroidetes bacterium (freshwater metagenome) partial 23S ribosomal RNA". It matches the Rfam family "Bacterial large subunit ribosomal RNA", at positions 1943 to 2925 of the family's 2925-position model. The record is from RNAcentral. Lineage: Bacteria; Pseudomonadati; Bacteroidota.